GACGAAGGAUGCAAGCGUUAUCCGGAUUCAUUGGGUUUAAAGGGAGCGUAGGCGGACUUGUAAGUCAGUGGUGAAAUCUGUGGGCUUAACCCACAAACUGCCAUUGAUACUGCAGGUCUAGAGUACAGUUGCCGUUGGCGGAAUAUGACAUGUAGUGGUGAAAUACUUAAGAUAUGUCAUAGAACACCGAUUGCGAAGGCAGCUAACGAAGCUGUAACUGACGCUGAGGCUCGAAAGUGCGGGGAUCAAACAGG
Molecule: ribosomal RNA, 254 nt
Filed under: uncultured bacterium
Lineage: Bacteria
Description: partial 16S ribosomal RNA
Rfam family: Bacterial small subunit ribosomal RNA
Source: RNAcentral